RNAcentral lists this ribosomal RNA (465 nucleotides) under uncultured bacterium. Its description in RNAcentral is "partial 16S ribosomal RNA". It matches the Rfam family "Bacterial small subunit ribosomal RNA", at positions 28 to 507 of the family's 1533-position model. The record is from RNAcentral.
GACGAACGCUGGCGGCGUGCUUAACACAUGCAAGUCGAACGGAAAGGCCCCUUUGGGGGUACUCGAGUGGCGAACGGGUGAGUAACACGUGAGUAACCUGCCCUUGACUUCGGGAUAACUUCAGGAAACUGGGGCUAAUACCGGAUAGGAAUCCUUGCUGCAUGGUGGGGGUUGGAAAGCUUCGGCGGUUUUGGAUGGACUCGCGGCUUAUCAGCUUGUUGGUGGGGUAGUGGCUUACCAAGGCUUUGACGGGUAGCCGGCCUGAGAGGGCGACCGGCCACAUUGGGACUGGGAUACGGCCCAGAAUCCUACGGGAGGCAGCAGUGGGGAAUAUUGCACAAUGGGCGGAAGCCUGAUGCAGCAACGCCGCGUGCGGGAUGACGGCCUUCGGGUUGGAAACCGCUUUCAGCAGGGGCGAAGCUUGUGGUGACGGUACCUGCAGAAGAAGCACCGGCUAACUACGUG